Molecule: unclassified non-coding RNA, 376 nt
Filed under: uncultured Actinomycetes bacterium
Lineage: Bacteria; Bacillati; Actinomycetota; Actinomycetes
Description: uncultured actinobacterium contains 16S-23S intergenic spacer region
Source: RNAcentral
UCCGGUUUAUCACCGGCAGUCUCCACAGAGUCCUCGGCUUUACCCGUUAGUAACUGUGAAUAAGGGUUGCGCUCGUUGCGCCACUUAAGGCAACACCUCACGGCACGAGCUGACGACAGCCAUGCACCACCUGUGCAGGCUCCGAAGAGCGCCGGCUUUCGCCGGUUUCACCCUGCAUGUCAAGCCCAGGUAAGGUUCUUCGCGUCGCAUCGAAUUAAGCAACAUGCUCCGCCGCUUGUGCGGGGCCCCGUCAAUUCCUUUGAGUUUUAGCCUUGCGGCCGUACUCCCCAGGCGGGGUGCCUAAUGCGUUAGCUUCGGCACGGACGGGGUUGAUAUCCGCCCACACCUAGCACCCAACGUUUACAGCUAGGACUAC